GGCCCAUUUUGCUGUGUGGAGGCCCAUCAGAGGCUGUCACUGAGUGGAGCCUGCUGUCAGUGACUGGCCCACCAUCCAGAACGGCUGACUGCUGCCGCCACUGCCCAGCCCUCGGCAGGUGGCUCCCUUGCAGAACGUGUUGUUCUCCAGCCAACAGAUUUGGUGGUGGGCACCCAAGGUCACAUUCGCCUGUUUGUCUCUGGAAAACCCAAGGACACUGAAGAGAUAAAGCCCAUCUGCUAAACAUCCCGAGCUGGAAUUGGAAAGAAGGUGAUGACGCAAUCUGCCUCGCAGAGUUGAAGUUGGGCUUCAUAGCCCAGAGCUGCCUGGCUCAAGGCCUCUCCACCAUGCUUGCCAACCUCUUCUCCAUGAGGUCAUUCAUAAAGAUUGAGGAAGACACGUGGCAGAAAUACUACUUGGAAGGAGUCUCAAAUGAAAUGUACACAGAAUAUCUCUCCAGUGCCUUCGUGGGUCUGUCCUUCCCUACUGUUUGUGAGCUGUGUUUUGUGAAGCUCAAGCUCCUAAUGAUAGCCAUUGAGUACAAGUCUGCCAACCGAGAGAGCCGUAUAUUAAUUAAUCCUGGAAACCAUCUUAAGAUCCAAGAAGGUACUUUAGGAUUUUUCAUCGCAAGUGAUGCCAAAGAAGUUAAAAGACCUCCUCAACUCUGUCUCACUUUAGCUGACCAGAAAAGGUGCUUUCAGAGUGACAAGGUUGAUAUUUUUAUUUGACUGAGAAACGACAUACUUCUGCCCCCUUAAAUAUAUAUUUGACCAGACUGUGGGAAUUUUGGUGUUGUAUUUAACUUCCCCACCAAGGGCCCAGGGCUCAUUGCCCACGUGUCUCCACAAGUAGCAUCAAAGGCUGUUCUCAAAAAUGAAAGACGAAUGAGCAGACACAGUGUGUCAUAUCAGCAACUUUUUUCCCAGUUUCUUUGCAAAUGGAAGUUUAUGAAAAGGAGCGCUAACUCAAAUCACAGAAUCCUGUGUUUGAAAUAAAUGGUCUUGCAACAAA
This 1011-nucleotide small RNA is filed under the name Pongo abelii (Sumatran orangutan). RNAcentral's name for it is "processed transcript". The record is from RNAcentral. Lineage: Eukaryota; Metazoa; Chordata; Mammalia; Primates; Hominidae.